UUCUUCGGGGCAGGGUGAAAUUCCCGAUCGGCGGUCACAGUCCGCGAGCCUGUUUCAGGCUGAGAUGGUGCAAUUCCAUCACCGACAGUUAUAGUCUGGAUGGUAGAAGAA
Molecule: non-coding RNA, 111 nt
Filed under: chicken gut metagenome
Description: FMN riboswitch (RFN element)
Rfam family: FMN riboswitch aptamer (RFN element)
About the family: The RFN element is a highly conserved domain that is found frequently in the 5'-untranslated regions of prokaryotic mRNAs that encode for flavin mononucleotide (FMN) biosynthesis and transport proteins. This element is a metabolite-dependent riboswitch that directly binds FMN in the absence of proteins.
Source: RNAcentral